GCCGUGAAGAGGAAGAAAGAGAGACCUUAAGAGCGCUAGGAAUGGGAACAUGGAAAAAAAACCAAACUUAUUUGCUUUCACCCAUGCCAGAGGUGAAAAUAUUAUGUUUGGUAUUUUUCUGAUGCCUCCCAUUCCUAUGGUUCUUAAGCACUCCUUCCUCUUCAUUUUGGAA
Molecule: microRNA precursor, 172 nt
Filed under: Triticum aestivum (bread wheat)
Lineage: Eukaryota; Viridiplantae; Streptophyta; Magnoliopsida; Poales; Poaceae
Description: MIR2118 microRNA precursor family
Rfam family: MIR2118 microRNA precursor family
Source: Rfam by way of RNAcentral